CCCUUAGAUGUCCUGGGCCGCACGCGCGUUACACUGAUGCAUUCAACGAGCUUAUAACCUUGGCCGAGAGGCCUGGGCAAUCUUGUUAACGUGCAUCGUGAUAGGGAUAGAUUAUUGAAAUUAUUAAUCUUGAACGAGGAAUUCCUAGUAAACGCAGAUCAUCAAUCUGCAUUGAUUACGUCCCUGCCCUUUGUACACACCGCCCAUCGCACCUACCGAUUGGAUGGUCCGGUGAAGCCUCGGGAUUGUGGUUCUUGCCGCUUUAUUGUGGCGUGACCGCGAGAACUUGUCUAAACCUUAUCAUCUAGAGGAAGGUGAAGUCGUAACA
This 328-nucleotide ribosomal RNA is filed under the name uncultured eukaryote. Its description in RNAcentral is "partial 18S ribosomal RNA". It matches the Rfam family "Eukaryotic small subunit ribosomal RNA", at positions 1470 to 1796 of the family's 1831-position model. The record is from RNAcentral.